GGUCAAGUUAUUAAGGGUGCAGGGCGGAUGCCUUGGCACUAGGAGCCGAUGAAGGACGUGAUAAGCUGCGAUAAGCUUCGGGGAGUUGCACGUAAACUUUGAUCCGAAGAUUUCCGAAUGAGGAAACUCACUUAGAGUAAUGUCUAAGUAUCAUUAAGUGAAUACAUAGCUUAAUGAGGGGAACUCAGGGAACUGAAACAUCUAAGUACCUGAAGGAAGAGAAAGAAAUUCGAUUCCGUAAGUAGCGGCGAGCGAACGCGGAUUAGCCCAAACCAAUAAAGUUUUCUUUAUUGGGGUUGCGGACAUAUCAUAACGAAGAGGUAUCGUAAUUGAAGAGGUUUGGAAAGACCCACCACAGAAGGUAAUAGUCCUGUAUGUUAAACGAGAAGACUUUAGAUAUGAUCCAGAGUACCACGGGACACGUGAAACCCUGUGGGAAGCAGGAGGGACCACCCUCCAAGGCUAAAUACUACCUAGUGACCGAUAGCGUAUAGUACCGUGAGGGAAAGGUGAAAAGAACCCCGGGAGGGGAGUGAAAUAGAACCUGAAACCCUGCACUUACAAGCUGUGGAAGCACAUUUCUUGUGUGACCGCGUACUUUUUGUAGAACGGGCCAACGAGUUACGUUAAGUAGCAAGGUUAAGCACUUAAGGUGCGGAGCCGUAGCGAAAGCGAGUUUUAACUGAGCGUUCAGUUACUUGACGUAGACCCGAAACCGGGCGACCUACCCAUGAGCAGGAUGAAGCGAAAGUAAAAUUUCGUGGAGGUCCGAACCCACGAGCGUUGAAAAGCUCGGGGAUGACUUGUGGGUAGCGGUGAAAUUCCAAUCGAGCCCGGAGAUAGCUGGUUCUCCCCGAAAUAGCUUUAGGGCUAGCCUCAAGGUGAGAGAUACGGAGGUAGAGCACUGAAUGUCCUAGGGGGUAUUGCACCUACCGAAGACUAUCAAACUCCGAAUGCCGUCAUCUUAUACUUGGGAGUCAGACUGUGGGUGAUAAGAUUCAUAGUCGAAAGGGCAACAGCCCAGAUCGUCAGCUAAGGUCCCUAAAUGUAAGUUAAGUGGUAAAGGAUGUGGGAUUGCACAGACAACCAGGAUGUUGGCUUAGAAGCAGCCACUCAUUCAAAGAGUGCGUAAUAGCUCACUGGUCGAGUGAUCCUGCGCCGAAGAUUUCCGGGGCUAAAACUUACUACCGAAGCUACGGCAUCAGUAAUGAUGGGUAGGGGAGCUUCCCAUACGGGUUGAAGCAUGACCGUAAGGACAUGUGGACAGUAUGGGAGUGAGAAUGUUGGCAUGAGUAGCGAGAUGUGGGUGAGAAUCCCACAGGCCGUAAACCCAAGGUUUCCAGGGGAAGGUUCGUCCGCCCUGGGUUAGUCGGGACCUAAGCUGAGGCCGAAAGGCGUAGGUGAUGGACAACAGGUUGAUAUUCCUGUACUACCGAUAACCGUUUGAGAGAAGGGAUGACACAGUAGGAUAAGCUAAGCACACUGUUGGUUAUGUGUGCCCAAGCAUUGAGGCAGUCAAAGUAGGCAAAUCCGCUUUGAUAAUGCUGGGAUGUGAUGGGGAGCGAAAUUUAGUAGCGAAGUAGCUGAUUUCACACUGUCAAGAAAAGUCUCUAUCGAGGUUAAAGGUACCCGUACCGCAAACCGACACAGGUGGGUGAGGAGAGUAUCCUAAGGCCAGCGAGAGAACUGUUGUUAAGGAACUCGGCAAAAUGACCCCGUAACUUAGGGAUAAGGGGUGCCACCAUCAGGUGGCCGCAGAGAAUAGGCCCAAGCGACUGUUUACCAAAAACAUAGGUUUCUGCUAAGUCGCAAGACGAUGUAUAGGAGCUGACGCCUGCCCGGUGCUGGAAGGUUAAGGGGAUCUGUUAGAGCAAACGGCGGCCGUAACUAUAACGGUCCUAAGGUAGCGAAAUUCCUUGUCGGGUAAGUUCCGACCCGCACGAAAGGCGUAACGAUUUGGGCACUGUCUCAACAACAGACUCGGUGAAAUUGUAAUUCCGGUGAAGAUGCCGGAUACCUGCGACAGGACGGAAAGACCCCAUGGAGCUUUACUGUAGCUUGACAUUGGGUCUUGGUACUACAUGUACAGGAUAGGUGGGAGGCUUUGAAACCAGGACGCCAGUUUUGGCGGAGCCAUCCUUGGGAUACCACCCUUGUAGUACUGGGACUCUAACCAUAGGCCAUGAAUCUGGUCUUGGGACACUGUCAGGUGGGCAGUUUGACUGGGGCGGUCGCCUCCCAAAAGGUAACGGAGGCGCUCAAAGGUUCUCUCAGUACGGUCGGAAAUCGUACGUAGAGUGUAAAGGCAAAAGAGAGCUUGAUUGCAAGACAUACAGGUCGAGCAAGGAUGAAAAUCGGACUUAGUGAUCCGGUGGUUCUGCGUGGAAGGGCCAUCGCUCAACGGAUAAAAGCUACCCUGGGGAUAACAGGCUUAUCUCCCCCAAGAGUCCACAUCGACGGGGAGGUUUGGCACCUCGAUGU
Molecule: ribosomal RNA, 2481 nt
Filed under: Staphylococcus sp.
Lineage: Bacteria; Bacillati; Bacillota; Bacilli; Caryophanales; Staphylococcaceae
Description: partial 23S ribosomal RNA
Rfam family: Bacterial large subunit ribosomal RNA
Source: RNAcentral